Molecule: transfer RNA, 77 nt
Filed under: Oscillospiraceae bacterium
Lineage: Bacteria; Bacillati; Bacillota; Clostridia; Eubacteriales; Oscillospiraceae
Description: tRNA-Met
Rfam family: tRNA
About the family: Transfer RNA (tRNA) molecules are approximately 80 nucleotides in length.
Source: RNAcentral
GGCGAGAUGGCUCAGUUGGCUAGAGCAACCGGUUCAUACCCGGUAGGUCGUGAGUUCAAGUCUCACUCUCGCUACCA